ACACAUGCAUAAAUCUGGCUUAUAAAGCUCCUGUGGACGGAGAUUGCUGGCAGCCCAGUGUAGGAGGAGAGAUGAAGGUUAUACAUUGCAGGGAUUGUAACAUUGUUUUGUGAGAGUUCUGAUUACCAUUACUGUCAUCUGGAGGCCACUUCGAUGAUCUGGCCCCUGCCACUAAUGAACUGCUGUUGCAAUCAGACGGUAAACCCAAGGGCAUGGCACUAUGUCCCAGGCUGACAGUAUAUUGCAUCAUGAAGUGGGAAAAGAGGUUGAGACACCUUGCUUCAGAAAUAUCUCAUGACAGUUCUUCAUUCAGUUGGCACCUAAAGAAAAACAACAGAGAGAUCUUAUCAAGGGAGAUCUGCUUGUGGGAUUUUCUGCUUCAGAUGCCAAAAUAAUGUAACCAGCCUUGGGUACUGUGAAGUUUGUUACCUUUGCAUAAAGGAUGCUAUUUGAUACUCCACCUCAAAGAGAGGAAGGGCACCACUUGAAUGUUCUGCCUCCGAUACCCAUUUCUGGAUCUUCACAGCAGGGAAGCAAAACCGAGGAAACAACAAACAAACAAAACCCCAAGCUGGUUCCUCCCACUUUUUGCCUUGGAAAGAGGAGCAUGCUGCAGUGGAGAGCGGGCAACUGUGCUCCCUCCUAGAGACUUGGUUAUCCACCCACAAGUUUCUCAUAACAAACAGAGAAUCUGUGUUUUGUGGCCAAUCCCUGUACCAUUCUUAUGACAGCUUGCCCAGUCUGGAUCAAAGGGGAGCAUAGUUCAGACCUUAGCCUGGCCACUAUACAGUAUCCUAAUUUUCCAACAAUUAUAUGCCACGGAAUUCAGCAAUCACCAUGCAUAUAGACAUUUGCUAGGCCACUGCAAGUUCCUUUUUGCUUGAGGAGCCCUCACCAGCCAGAGCAGCAAUUUCUGCAUAUUCCUUCAUUUAGUGCUUGUCAUCUCUUGCCUUUAUGAUUUAUGCUGUUUUUCCCUGACUUUAGAGCUUGAUCACAGAUAUGCAAACACUGAGCUGGGUUGUAAUUCAACAGACAUCAGGGUGAUGCUUGUUUUUGAGAUUGGAUUAAAAUAUCUUUUGUCUCAAAGGUAUGUCUGUAAGAGCUCUAUUGAACAUAAAUAUGGGCCCAUUUGAGCCUCACGUCUCAGUCCUGUGCAGAUUUGCUGAGCCCGCUCAGUUUGUCCCUAAUACGUCUGCAUAGGAUCGCAAGCUUAAAUUGUAGUCCGAAGCAUGCAUGCCUGCAAGUGUCACUGAGAUCAGUGGGCCUUUUUUCU
Long non-coding RNA from Rhineura floridana, 1273 nucleotides. RefSeq lists it as uncharacterized. NCBI's taxonomy places the organism in Eukaryota, Metazoa, Chordata, Lepidosauria, Squamata, Rhineuridae. The record is from RefSeq and is a predicted model, not a curated record. The transcript is spliced from 4 exons.